Non-coding RNA from Triticum aestivum (bread wheat), 135 nucleotides. The record is from Rfam. NCBI's taxonomy places the organism in Eukaryota, Viridiplantae, Streptophyta, Magnoliopsida, Poales, Poaceae.
UUCCUACUCCCUUCUUCCGAAAAGAAUUGUAAUCAAAAUGAAUAAAAAAAGAUGAAUCUAGAAUUAAAAUACAUCUAUAUACAUCCCGUCUUAUCUAGUUUGAUGACAAGUAUUUCCGGGCGAAUGGAGUACUUG